RNAcentral lists this ribosomal RNA (253 nucleotides) under uncultured bacterium. RNAcentral's name for it is "partial 16S ribosomal RNA". It matches the Rfam family "Bacterial small subunit ribosomal RNA", at positions 524 to 776 of the family's 1533-position model. The record is from RNAcentral.
GACAGAGGGUGCAACCGUUGUUCGGAAUUACUGGGCGUAAAGCGCGUGUAGGCGGCCCGGAAAGUCGGAUGUGAAAGCCCUGGGCUUAACCUAGGAAGUGCAUUCGAAACUGCUGGGCUUGAGUUCUGGAGAGGAAGGCGGAAUUCUCGGUGUAGAGGUGAAAUUCGUAGAUAUCGAGAGGAACACCGGUGGCGAAGGCGGCCUUCUGGACAGUGACUGACGCUGAGACGCGAAAGCGUGGGGAGCAAACAGG